UACGGGGGGAGCAGGCGUUGUCCGGAAUUAUUGGGCGUAAAGAGCUUGUAGGCGGUUUGUCGCGUCUGCUGUGAAAUUUCGGGGCUCAACCCCGAACUUGCAGUGGGUACGGGCAGACUAGAGUGUGGUAGGGGAGACUGGAAUUCCUGGUGUAGCGGUGAAAUGCGCAGAUAUCAGGAGGAACACCGAUGGCGAAGGCAGGUCUCUGGGCCAUAACUGACGCUGAGAAGCGAAAGCAUGGGGAGCGAACAGG
This 253-nucleotide ribosomal RNA is filed under the name uncultured bacterium. RNAcentral describes it as "partial 16S ribosomal RNA". It matches the Rfam family "Bacterial small subunit ribosomal RNA", at positions 524 to 776 of the family's 1533-position model. The record is from RNAcentral.